RNAcentral lists this transfer RNA (72 nucleotides) under Bos taurus (domestic cattle). It matches the Rfam family "tRNA". Rfam says of the family: Transfer RNA (tRNA) molecules are approximately 80 nucleotides in length. Their secondary structure includes four short double-helical elements and three loops (D, anti-codon, and T loops). Lineage: Eukaryota; Metazoa; Chordata; Mammalia; Artiodactyla; Bovidae. RNAcentral also lists the same sequence under 3 other names. The record is from Rfam by way of RNAcentral.
UUCCCUGUAGCUCAGAUGGUAAAGAAUCUGCUUGCAGUGCAGGAGACCCAGGUUUGAUCCCUGGCUCAGGAA